GUAGGUGAACCUGCGGAAGGAUCAUUAAACCUUAUACUUCGGGGGGCCGGCGUUGAAUAGCAGUUCCAUCGCGGAUCAGCUGUUCUCCCCGCCCUGUCGGAACAUUACCCAUGCUUUUUGCGUACCCAUUGUUUCCUCGGCAGGCUUGCCUGCCAGCAGGACCUUUUUAAAACCCUUUGCAAUUGCAGUCAGCGUCAGAAAAAACUUAAUAGUUACAACUUUCAACAACGGAUCUCUUGGUUCUGGCAUC
RNAcentral lists this unclassified non-coding RNA (250 nucleotides) under plant metagenome. RNAcentral's name for it is "partial contains small subunit ribosomal RNA, internal transcribed spacer 1, and 5.8S ribosomal RNA". The record is from RNAcentral.